AUUGAACGCUGGCGGCAGGCCUAACACAUGCAAGUCGAGCGAGCGGCGGACGGGUGAGUAAGGUCUGGGAAACUGCCUGAUGGCGGGGGAUAACUACUGGAAACGGUAGCUAAUACCGCAUACCAUCAGAUGUGCCCAGAUGGGAUUAGCUAGUAGGUGGGGUAAUGGCUCACCUGGGCGACGAUCCCUAGCUGGUCUGGGAGGAUGACCAGCCACACUGGAACGGAGACACGGUCCAGACUCCUACGGGAGGCAGCAGUGGGGAAUAUUGCACAAUGGGCGAAAGACUGAUGCAGCCAUGCCGCGUGUGUGAAGAAGGCAUUCGGGUUGUAAAGCACUGUCAGCGGGGAGGCGUUACCCGAAGAAGAAGCACCGGCUAACUCCGUGCCAGCAGCCGCGGUAAUAC
This 406-nucleotide ribosomal RNA is filed under the name uncultured bacterium. RNAcentral's name for it is "partial 16S ribosomal RNA". It matches the Rfam family "Bacterial small subunit ribosomal RNA", at positions 29 to 526 of the family's 1533-position model. The record is from RNAcentral.